AAGUAACGCGUAAGUACUUGCCCUUGGGAAAGGAACAACAGAUGGAAACAACUGCUAAUAUCCCAUAGGCUGAGGAGCAAAAGGAGGAAUCCGACUGAGGAGGGCCUCACGUCUGAUUAGCUAGUUGGUCAAGCAAUUCCUUACCAAGGGGAUGAUCAGUAAUUGGUGGUCGUUU
This 175-nucleotide non-coding RNA is filed under the name Capsicum annuum. RNAcentral describes it as "Bacterial small subunit ribosomal RNA". It matches the Rfam family "Bacterial small subunit ribosomal RNA", at positions 109 to 299 of the family's 1533-position model. The record is from Rfam by way of RNAcentral. Lineage: Eukaryota; Viridiplantae; Streptophyta; Magnoliopsida; Solanales; Solanaceae.